CUGGGCAUAAGGUCUGUGUUGUUUGAUAUUUCCCUGCCUCUUUCUACCUCUCAGAGCAGUGGACUGGCUGAGGAACAGGUGGUAGGGAGAUAAAUCAUUCUUUCCAAAUACAAGCCAGAUGGUCCCAGUCCCUAACACGUGCAUGGCUUGACUCUUUUUGAUUCCUGACCCAUUUUGACAUAACAUUCUACUUGUUUGUCAGGUUCUGCUUGAAAUAGAAUCAUCAUGGGGCCAUACUGAAUUGUGCAUAGCAGAUCACGCAGUGCUGUAUCUGCAAUCAUCCUGGCUGGGACUGCUGCAGAAUCAUCAAGAAGUGGUGCUUUGAAAAAAUUCAGAAAAGAGGUAGGAUACUGCUUGGGUAGUGGACAUAGAAUUCCAACAGCAGCUUUGCUCAUGAAUUGCUUUCAUACCUUCUAUUUGAUCUGCAACUCAGGAGAACACUGAUCUCAGGUGUGGUGGGCUCCAUCAUCAGCUCCAGGGUCUCUCUCAUCUUAGGCAGAACUGACCUACCAUCUGUUAGAAAUAUUUUGAAAGGUUUAGUUUUUUAGGAGUUUGUAUUCCUUCUACUAGAGCAGACUUACAGAUGAAUUUUGGAAUCUGAGUGCCUGGUUUCAAAUCCUAGCUCUAUUUACUUAGACCUUGGGAAAAUUUCUUAUGCUCUGAGGCCUCCAUUUCUCUAUCAGUAAAAUAGGAAUAAUAACAGUGCCUAUCCUCAUGGGAUUAAUUAAGUUGCAAAGUGCUUAUGUGUAGAUUACAGUGCUUUGAUCAUGUGAUUAUGCAAUGC
Molecule: long non-coding RNA, 784 nt
Filed under: Bos indicus x Bos taurus (hybrid cattle)
Lineage: Eukaryota; Metazoa; Chordata; Mammalia; Artiodactyla; Bovidae
Description: lncRNA (ENSBIXG00005001570.1)
Source: RNAcentral